This 391-nucleotide ribosomal RNA is filed under the name uncultured bacterium. RNAcentral's name for it is "partial 16S ribosomal RNA". It matches the Rfam family "Bacterial small subunit ribosomal RNA", at positions 338 to 795 of the family's 1533-position model. The record is from RNAcentral.
CCUACGGGGGACAGCAGUGGGGAAUAUUGGGCAAUGGAGGAAACUCUGACCCAGCAACGCCGCGUGAAUGAUGAAGGUCUUCGGAUUGUAAAGUUCUUUUCUAAGGGAAGAAGAAAGUGACGGUACCUUAGGAAAAAGCAUCGGCUAACUCCGUGCCAGCAGCCGCGGUAAUACGGAGGAUGCGAGCGUUAUCCGGAUUUAUUGGGUUUAAAGGGAGCGUAGACGGUUAUGUAAGUCUGGAGUGCAGGAGAGGUAAGUGGAAUUCCUAGUGUAGCGGUGAAAUGCGUAGAGAUUAGGAAGAACACCAGUGGCGAAGGCGACUUACUGGACUGUAACUGACGCUGAGGCAUGAGAGCAUGGGGAGCAAACAGGAUUAGAUACCCGAGUAGUC